UCACCACCGUCGCUCAUUCUUUCUCCUUCGCCAUCACCGCCUCUGCCACGGACCUUUUCAUCGCCCACGCUAGUAAAUUUCCAGUCGCCCUAAACAAGCCCUCCAAACCUUCUUACGGGUGAAUUUUUCGGUAUGUCAUCAUUUUAUUCUGGUUUCUAUAGCACUUUUUCUUGUUUGAUCUUCCUAUUGGGACCAAUCCGCCCUCACAAGAGGCGUUACCGACACAGAAUUCCUUUAUUAUGGAAUAUACAAUUGUUAUGUUUUUGAGAGGAUUGCAGUGAAGAAUACUAGUGAUCUGGAAGAAGAGUAGAGAUGGGUAUAGUGAGUACUAUAAUGGGGGUUUUCAGGUUUGGAGUGGGAAUCACCAUUGGGAUUUUGAUUGGUAUUACCUGUUCAUCUACUUCCAGCCAACUGAUGUCAAAAUUAGUUCAUGCUCUGUUUCAUUAUGUAUAUGUUAUGAACUUAUAAAUGUAUUCUCACUCUUUUUUGUUUACUUUUGUGUGG
RNAcentral lists this long non-coding RNA (504 nucleotides) under Panax ginseng (ginseng). RNAcentral's name for it is "long non-coding RNA (PGIN_LNC013924)". The record is from RNAcentral. Lineage: Eukaryota; Viridiplantae; Streptophyta; Magnoliopsida; Apiales; Araliaceae.